GACCUUCGGGCCUCUCGCGUCAGGAUAUGCCCAGGUGGGAUUAGCUAGUUGGUGAGGUAAUGGCUCACCAAGGCGACGAUCCCUAGCUGGUCUGAGAGGAUGAUCAGCCACACUGGAACUGAGACACGGUCCAGACUCCUACGGGAGGCAGCAGUGGGGAAUAUUGCACAAUGGGCGCAAGCCUGAUGCAGCCAUGCCGCGUGUAUGAAGAAGGCCUUCGGGUUGUAAAGUACUUUCAGCAGUGAGGAAGGUGGUGUCGUUAAUAGCGGCAUCAUUUGACGUUAGCUGCAGAAGAAGCACCGGCUAACUCCGUGCCAGCAGCCGCGGUAAUACGGAGGGUGCGAGCGUUAAUCGGAAUUACUGGGCGUAAAGCGCAUGCAGGUGGUUUGUUAAGUCAGAUGUGAAAGCCCGGGGCUCAACCUCGGAAUUGCAUUUGAAACUGGCAGACUAGAGUACUGU
Molecule: ribosomal RNA, 459 nt
Filed under: Vibrio sp. CR-IV-E25
Lineage: Bacteria; Pseudomonadati; Pseudomonadota; Gammaproteobacteria; Vibrionales; Vibrionaceae
Description: bacterial SSU rRNA
Rfam family: Bacterial small subunit ribosomal RNA
Source: RNAcentral